AUGGAUCUCUCCAUCUCUGUCCCCUUGCUGAUCUAUGAGUCCACACUCCAGCACAGUGUCCUGUGUGAAAUCCAGCUGGUGGAGUUGGGGGGAGACAUGAGACAGCCUGGGGUUCUCUGAGCCUCUCCUGCAAAGCCUUUGGAUUCACCUUCACUAACUACAGCAUGCACUGGGUCCGCCAGGCUCCAGGGCAGGGGCUGGAGUGGGUGGCAGAAGUGAGUCAGCCAAGUGGAAGUAAACAGUGGUACUCUCCAUCAGUACAAGGAAGGUUCACAAUAUCCAGGGACAACCCUACAAGCACAGUGUCUCUUAAAAUGACCAACCUGAAAGUCGAGGACACGGCUGUGUAUUAUUUUGUGAGAGACACAGUGAGGGAAUGUCAGUGUGAGCCCAGACACAAACCUCCCUGCAUGGAGACUUGGUGGUAG
Molecule: non-coding RNA, 428 nt
Organism: Galeopterus variegatus (Sunda flying lemur)
Lineage: Eukaryota; Metazoa; Chordata; Mammalia; Dermoptera; Cynocephalidae
Source: the annotation of a RefSeq genome assembly